Long non-coding RNA from Bombus pascuorum, 241 nucleotides. RefSeq lists it as uncharacterized. The transcript has 2 exons. Lineage: Eukaryota; Metazoa; Arthropoda; Insecta; Hymenoptera; Apidae. The record is from RefSeq and is a predicted model, not a curated record.
UCUCUCGUUGUUUUAAUUACAUCGAUGUAUGGUAUCCUUAUCUAUACAUGUUUAGUCAUAACUACAUUAUACUUUAAACCGUUGUCUGUUACAAAUCUAAAGAAGGAAGAUCUUCUAUUGCUUUAACAGUUAUGGUAGUUCCCUCAAAGGUUGCUACAGCAUUAGGUUUGCAACUAUGAUCCAGAAUAGAAGGUCCCAAAUAAAUACCAACACCAAUAUUCAUAUCCAAAUUAAAUAUACU